UAGAGUUCUGAAAUUGAAGGGGGAGACA
This 28-nucleotide non-coding RNA is filed under the name Rattus norvegicus (Norway rat). The record is from RNAcentral. Lineage: Eukaryota; Metazoa; Chordata; Mammalia; Rodentia; Muridae.